This 253-nucleotide ribosomal RNA is filed under the name uncultured bacterium. RNAcentral's name for it is "partial 16S ribosomal RNA". It matches the Rfam family "Bacterial small subunit ribosomal RNA", at positions 524 to 776 of the family's 1533-position model. The record is from RNAcentral.
UACGUAGGGUGCGAGCGUUGUCCGGAAUCAUUGGGCGUAAAGAGCGUGUAGGCGGCCAGAUAAGUCCGCUGUGAAAUCUCGAGGCUCAACUUCGAGCUGUCGGUGGAAACUGUCUGGCUAGAGUCCGGAAGAGGAGAAUGGAAUUCCUGGUGUAGCGGUGAAAUGCGCAGAUAUCAGGAAGAACACCCGUGGCGAAGGCGGUUCUCUGGGACGGUACUGACGCUGAGACGCGAAAGCGUGGGGAGCGAACAGG